This 300-nucleotide ribosomal RNA is filed under the name uncultured Hallella sp. RNAcentral describes it as "bacterial SSU rRNA". The stretch from base 52 to 300 matches the Rfam family "Bacterial small subunit ribosomal RNA", at positions 547 to 795 of the family's 1533-position model. The record is from RNAcentral. Lineage: Bacteria; Pseudomonadati; Bacteroidota; Bacteroidia; Bacteroidales; Prevotellaceae.
GUCAGGUGCGUGCAGGGAGGCGAGGUAAUGCUGGGGGAGUAAGGGUUGGUCGGAAUUACUGGGGGGAAAGGGCGCGUAGGCUGCCUACGAAGUCGGACGUGAAAUCCCCCGGCUCAACCGGGGAACUGGGUCCGAUACUGGUGGGCUCGAAUCCGGGAGAGGGAUGUGGAAUUCCAGGUGUAGCGGUGAAAUGCGUAGAUAUCUGGAGGAACACCGGUGGCGAAGGCGGCAUCCUGGACCGGUAUUGACGCUGAUGCGCGAAAGCCAGGGGAGCAAACGGGAUUAGAUACCCGAGUAGUC